Molecule: ribosomal RNA, 430 nt
Filed under: uncultured archaeon
Lineage: Archaea
Description: bacterial SSU rRNA
Rfam family: Archaeal small subunit ribosomal RNA
Source: RNAcentral
UACCUGCAGCUCGAGUGGUAACCGCUAUUAUUGGGCCUAAAGCGUCCGUAGCCGGUUUGGUAAAUAUCUGGGUAAAUCGUGAGGCUUAACUUCACGAAUUUCGGAUAGACUGCCAGACUUGGGAUCGGGGGAGGUCAGAGGUACUCCAGGGGUAGCGGUGAAAUGUUGUAAUCCUUGGAGGACCACCGGUAGCGAAGGCGUCUGACUAGAACGAGUCCGACGGUGAGGGACGAAGCCCUGGGGCGCAAAACCGGAUUAGAUGCCCGGGUAGUCCAGGGUGUAAACGAUGUGGGCUUUGUAUUGGAGGUCCCACGUGGGCGUCCAGUGCAGAAGAGAAGUUGUUAAGCCCACCGCCUGGGAAGUACGGUCGCAAGGCUGAAACUUAAAGGAAUUGGCAGGGGAGCACAGCAACGGGAGGAGCGUGCGGUUU